RNAcentral lists this ribosomal RNA (460 nucleotides) under uncultured bacterium. RNAcentral's name for it is "partial 16S ribosomal RNA". It matches the Rfam family "Bacterial small subunit ribosomal RNA", at positions 338 to 795 of the family's 1533-position model. The record is from RNAcentral.
CCUACGGGAGGCAGCAGUGAGGAAUAUUGGUCAAUGGACGAGAGUCUGAACCAGCCAAGUAGCGUGAAGGAUGACUGCCCUAUGGGUUGUAAACUUCUUUUAUAAAGGAAUAAAACGAGGCACGUGUGCCUUUUUGCAUGUACUUUAUGAAUAAGGAUCGGCUAACGCCGUGCCAGCAGCCGCGGUAAUACGGAGGAUCCGAGCGUUAUCCGGAUUUAUUGGGUUUAAAGGGAGCGUAGAUGGGUUGUUAAGUCAGUAGUGAAAGUUUGCGGCUCAACCGUAAAAUUGCAAUUGAUACUGGCAGCCUUGAGUACAGUUGAGGUAGGCGGAAUUCGUGGUGUAGCGGUGGAAUGCUUAGAUAUCACGAAGAACUCCGAUUGCGAAGGCAGCUUACUAAACUGCCACUGACAUUGAUGCUCGAAAGUGUGGGUAUCAAACAGGAUUAGAUACCCCUGUAGUC